This 5185-nucleotide long non-coding RNA is filed under the name Vitis vinifera (wine grape). RNAcentral describes it as "long non-coding RNA (VVIN_LNC005556)". The record is from RNAcentral. Lineage: Eukaryota; Viridiplantae; Streptophyta; Magnoliopsida; Vitales; Vitaceae.
CUAUUGAACUUGAAAAAGAGCUUUCAACUUCAAAAAGUCAAUCCAAACAGACCUCUGAAUUACAUUUCAAUGCAUAAAGAAAAUUAAGGCAUCAACAAAAACCAUAUGAAAAGCAACUUCCACUUGACCAGGAAUGAGUGAUUGAGAAGUUUGAGACAAUGUUAUGAGGUUCUAUUCUCCCCACCUUUUUAUGGAAAGUAAUAUCAGAAAGGAUGAAACACAUUGAUUCCUUUAAAAGACACCAUAAAAGCUAAAAAGAAUUUUGAAAAGGUAUGAACUAUGUUUAUACAUGAGACAAAGUCACCAUUUCUUUUCUUUUUCUUCUUGUUUUUUUUUUUUUUUUUUGUUGCUGUUGAUAGGUGAGAUGAAGACACAUCAUUGAUAACAUGUAGCAUUUUACAUCUUAUGGGUUGCCCAGAUAAACAGGGUUGUGAAAGUAGUACGAAAUUAUUGCCUUUUAAGAAUUCUGCCCUUACAUUUAAAAGAAGAGAAAUCAAUAGUCAAGAAAGGUAUAGAAACUCAUUAACACACAAGUGAAACUAGGAGAAAAUCGGGUGUCAAUCAUUGGGAACAAGGAAUUGCUCCGAGUACCCCUUUCUCUAUGCAUUGAUUUAUGUCAUUUUUCUACAGAUGACCAUGUAGGAACUUAGGCUAGAACUUGCCUAGGCAUUUCAACAUAUAUGUCAGUAAAGUUUGAAGGUUACCAGGGUAUUGAAUCAAAGCCUGAACUCCUCCAUUCUUAUCAAACAUUGCAAUCUUUUGGAUAGGCCCAAAAGCAGAAAAAACCUGGCCAUAAAAGAGCCAAAGAAUCAAUAUUGAGAAAGGAAUGAUUAACAGAAAAUGUUAAAAAUCACUGGUCAAAGUAGAUACCAUGUGUAAGACAUCCAAGGUGACAGCAUACUGCAUGUUCUCAAUAGAUGCAAGAAGAACAUUACUUUCAGGUUCUACUUUUCUUCCAUCAAAACCCAUGCUAAACUGCAUUGAUGACAAAUGAAAACUAUUUAAUUUAACCACUAAAGACAUCAAAAUAUCAGUUAGUUCCAUAAAAAUGAUGCAAAAAUCUUAUACAUCAGAUGGCAGAAGCAUGGAUCGCCGCCAAUUGCAUGUUAGUGCACUUCAACACACAUGCAAAUGUUUAAAGCAAGCACUCUUAGUUACCCAAGGUUUUGUGCAUAAAGGAAGAGCCAAAGAACAUAUCUUGCAUUGGCUCAAAGUGAAAUGUAUUUUGGGCACUUGCAUUUACAUAGGUGCAAUUAUAUGUGCUAUCUUUAUAUUUCAAAUUAUUCCAGCACCAUUUGACACCUUAAUGACUCAAUUAAACACCGUACAGAGAAAAGCUAAGCAUAAUUUAAACAAGUUCUACUUAGCAGCAGCAUUGUCUUUGUAAUUCUACACUAAGGUUUUCUAAUGUGGGCAGGUGCAUAGGCCUACAACAUAAACCGAUCUCAUAAAUAAAAAGACACCCAUUAUAUCUAAAUCAUUUUUCCUCCAUGUUUCCAUUUGUGUCCAAAAAAUUAUGACAGUCCCCAUUAUGUUUCCAAGACCUAUUAAAUGUUUUUCCUUACGAGGCCAAUGAAAACAAAUCAUUGAAAUAAAACAUAAUAUGAGGAGAGAGCAUUCAACGCAAACAUUGUAAUAGUUUCAAUAACAGAUAUUAUCAAAUGCUUCUGGAAUUUUUGCUGGCCACAAUAGGGAAUACAUGUGGAUGGAUGGUUAUAUUUGGCAUCUGAAGCCUCUCAUGAGAAACAUAAUAAACAAAUUGAUUGACCCUGGAAUGUGUAUAACAAGUAAUCAACAUGUCAUAGUAUAGGUAUGUCAUCUUCUACUCAAAAUAAAAUUCCAGAACCUUACUUGACCACUUCCAUCUAUGGCUGAUGAAGCAACAGGAAGAUAAGGAUUAGUGUAGUCCCUGAAUUUUGCAAAAAGGAAAAAUAUGAUCAAACAGAGUGAAUAGAGGGUAAGAAUCAAAUUUGACAAAAGAGGCAAAAAGGAGUCAGCAAUGAGCUAAAGAAAGAGAACUUGUAAACACAGAAACCAAUACUUGAACCUGGAUACCAAAACGGCCCAAUGCAAUACACUCAUAUACCAAAAGAAUUAUAAAUCAGUAAUACCUGCUGCGGUGGCUUUGGAAUUUCACACUCAAAUCUGUGUGUGCAGAAAAUGUAAUCCUAAGAGUGCAUGGUCCCAAAUGCUCUGGAAGUAGGUACCUAAUACCCAAGACAAGAAAGGCAGUUGAUCAUCAAGCAGGUAAAUUGAGUGCAUAUAGCAUAUGGAUGCAUAGCAAUAACAGAAUAACACAAGAACGUGAUAGGAAAUACAAUUUUCCAGUCUAAACUUCGAACAUAAAAGAAAUAAAAAAGGGUGGUACAUAAAAAAGUUUCGAAAGUCUAGAAGUCUAUCUGAAGUUUGAUUGGAUCAUUUAUACCAUAAAGAUUCUCAAAAAUAGGGCCAGCAGAUGUCCAACCAAGUGCAUAUGCAUUGAGUCUACAAUCAUAAAGUUGGAUUACAACCAGCGUCUAAUUAACAAAUGUUUUACCUCGGGAUGCUCCUUCCAUCCAAGGCAUUUUUUGCAGCAGAGGCAGUUUCUGAAUCUGAAAAUUGCACCAAAGCCUGACAAAGAUAUAGCACAAACUCAUGUUUGGAGGUAGAAGAACCCAUUAAUAGAAACCACAACAGAACUGAGUUAAAUUUAUAAACCUGGAAUCCGGCUGUCUUCUCAAAGGUAGUGAUCUUAUGCACAAAUCCAAAAGCAGAAAACACCUGCAUCACUGAAAUAACUUCAGCAAGAGAUUGAAACAAAAAUCCUACAAAUUUAAGAGGCUGUUCCAUCUGUUACCCUCUCUGAGUACUGUUACAGAAAUCAGGAAAUGUAAACGAAUCCAGCCAUCUAUUUUUUGGCAAACAGAAACAAUAACAGAUUUUAUCAUCUAUAUAAACAGGUUGGCAAAAUAAUCAACACAUCAUCAGUGACAAAUGAACAUUGAGAAUAACAAGAAAAAAUAUGAAAUUAAAGAUAAAAAGGAUCACCUACACCAUCAGUUUUAAACUUUUAACAAGUGCCAGGAAAACUGUAGUUUUAUUGUUCUGUAUCAAGGUCAUCUGAAAAGACUAACUGCCUUAACCAUAAGAAACAGUUGCACCUUGUUGGAAACUGAAAUGGAACUGACAUGUUAUUGAUAAAGUAAUAAGCUGUGAAUUGCAAACAAAGGGCGACCACUGUUUGCCUAUGAAACUCAGACUUUUACUCCAGGGGAAUGUGAACUGUAUCAUUCAUCUUCCACUCAGUAUCACUUAUUUAAAUUGCAUCAAAUGAAGAAUCUGAAACUCUUUACAGAAUUUGAGAUUUUGUGUUCUGCAUUGGAAGGAUAGCUUUAAUUGGGACAAUAUAUCAAAGUAAUAAAAGUGGGCAUUUUUGCAUCUUUCCUUGGACUAAAAACAAACUUCUAUAAGACUUGUUCAUCCAUUCCCAGAUCACUGCAUAAGUAAGAAAUCUCUAGGAUUGAACUAAACCUUCCAAUUAUCAACUAAGAAUUCUUCUCCUUCUUUUCUUAUGAUGCUCAUUACAGUUCCUUGGACAAAGCAGUGAAAGCCAAGUUUUCUUGAAGCUCAAAACUUCAACCCUUCUAUUUUUUAAUAGGCAAAUUAUACUUGUACCUUUUUGGUUUGUGAUGUAUGUGUGUGUGCUUCCAUAGAGGAAAACACAAUAUCAACUCAUUCUACAACACAAUUAUGAAACAUCUAUACCAAACAUAAAAAAUGCAUAGUGAAUAAUUGACCUACAAGUAUGGCAUUCUGGCACAGAGCAUGCUGUAUGGAAGGGAGAGGGAUGCACAAGAGCAAAGAAAUCAAAGCAUCCUAAACUCUUAGAAUGGUAGGGAGAGGAAGAUAAGGAGGAAGAGUAGGGAAGAAAGAGUCAGUGUUAAGGAAAGGAGAAAGAAGACAAACACACAUGUGCCCUUUCUCCCAAUGCAUUAAGCUGCCAUCGAAGAUAUUGCUGUGACAUGGGCCUGCUGAUUCAUUCACAUUCAUGUCAAACAAAUGCCUUAUGAAGCAUCACAAACUACAACCUAAUCAUAGAAACUCACAGCAACAUCCUUUUAGUGACAAAUUUACCUCCCAUAAUUGUUAACAGAAAAGCAUGCAACUUGCUUACCAAGUGUAAAACGUCAAUGCUCACAAGGCGUGCAUCAGCACCCUCGAUUGUCACCAGCAGUACAUUUCCAGCAACAUCAGCAGAUGUUUUGUUGUUUACUAUUUCUUGCCGGUUGGAAUAUUGUAAGUAGACGGUUUUCCCCCGUACUUGAGCCGGCUCUGAAGAUGAAGCAUAAUAUGAUAUCAUUGCAAUAGCUUGAUUCAAAUCUGCCUGGAAAAGAUUAAAAAAUAUAAUAAGUUCAAAUUUUUGACAGAAUGGAACAGAUAUUUAAAAAGGACAAAAGGAAAAAAAAUGGAGGAAAUAGUGUGUCUAAGAAGAUAAAGAAGAAUUCACACUCACAAAUUCAAUAAAAGCUUGAUUCCUGUUUGCCCCAACAUUGCAUUUUGUGUUGACAACUUUACCAAAUGGCUUUCCCAGCUCAAUCAAUUCCUCCUCUGUGCACUCCCAUGGCAAGUUCCUUAAAUGGAGCACCUUGGAUGGUGGUUGAGUGUAACGGAAUUGUGGUUGACUUGAUACAGAUGCCAUUCCGUACAAUAACCCCAAUUGGUUGAAGGACACUGCAGAGAUAUGAAGUCCUUUGGACCCCUAUGAUAAAAGAGUUAUUCGGUUAUUAUGUUCAUUAUAUUCCAAAAAUGUCUGCAUAUUUGCUAUAAGAUGCUAACUUGCGCGUCACACUUCGUAAGGAAAUCUUUCCACCCCACAACAAUGCCUAUUGCCACUGCACCAUAUAACAGGAUUCUAACAAAAACAAAGAGCACAACAAGGACAAAAGGCUUCAACAUUUUCCAUAACACUAUGUUCUUGAGUGUUGUCUUGGGUUGUCAUUCCAAAAUGAAAAGUUUCAGAAACAAUUUCUAAACAAGAUAAAUAUAACCUUGAAGUGCAGAAAAUGUUUGGAAUUGAUGGAAAUUUUUGUAAACAUAACAAGGACAAAGGAACAGUUUUAGAUGAUGCAAUGGCAAGGUCAAUAUAAUGGGAAAUAAAGCUAUUGGAAUUUAAUAUAACCAUCUUCAUAGUAAGAGAUGUAAAAAG